UGGCUUAGAUGGUAAAGAAUCUGCCUUCAGUGCAGGAGACCCAGGUUCGAUCCCUGG
Molecule: transfer RNA, 57 nt
Filed under: Bos taurus (domestic cattle)
Lineage: Eukaryota; Metazoa; Chordata; Mammalia; Artiodactyla; Bovidae
Also listed under: 5 other names
Rfam family: tRNA
About the family: Transfer RNA (tRNA) molecules are approximately 80 nucleotides in length.
Source: Rfam by way of RNAcentral